Molecule: long non-coding RNA, 1914 nt
Organism: Amphiprion ocellaris (clown anemonefish)
Lineage: Eukaryota; Metazoa; Chordata; Actinopteri; Pomacentridae
Source: Ensembl
ACAGCUCGCUAGCGGAUCUAGUCUGCUGUAUGUAUCUAUGGUGCGCACGUCUGCUAGCGUCUCUGGCUGCUGGAGACCUCGUUUUUGGAGUAAAACACGGUGGAAGCUGAAUUAGUGAGGAUGACUCCUGCUCCUGUCAUCUCUAAGCUCCUCACACAUCUUUACCUGCACAUGAGGAAAAUCACUCCUGUAGAAUGCAGGUAUGUUUGUCAUUAUUAUAAAAAGAUGUUGACUGGUGACCUGUCAGAAACCCAUUAUACAGAGUCAGCCAAAAUAAUGUUUACACACAUCAGGAAAAGGAAAACUUGCAUAAAUAUUUCAAUACCAAAUUUAUUCAGACAUCAGGAGAUAAAUAAAAGUUAUCUUUGGUCUCUACAAUUACAAGAGGUGCUCAAAGUGGAGGCCACUGGCUUCCAGACAUUUCUGUUGUGUUGUAGAUGUCACUUGUUGAUGCUCCAUUCAUGAGAGUAGCGCCAUCUGUUGGGAAAACAUCGUACAACAGGACACAGAGUUAUCGUGAUUUGAUCAAACUUAGAAAGAAGAAUCUAUAUGUAUAGAAGUACUUAUACAAAUGAAAUAUUUAUAAAAGUUUUUCAUUUCCUGAUGUGUGUUUACAUUAUUUUGGCUGAUUCUGACUCUGUGAACUUAAUGAGAAAAAAACUGUCAUUUAAUUGUUGCUCUGAAAGCUUCUUUAAUGAAAACCGGCUGAUGUUCUGCUUUGAAACAAACUGCUGUUGAGGUCUGUGUUUUUUGGUUUAACCCCACAGUUUCUGAAUGAACUGAUUGUUUGUUUUUCCUGAUCAAUGUGGACGUUAUAAUUGAUGGUAACAUUUACUGAUCAUAUAAUCAGCAUGACAAUAUAACAGUAGAACAUUCUGACCACCUGACUAAUACUGUGUUGGUCCCUUUAUGCUGCUAAAACUCCUCUGACCCAGUGGUUCAUCAGAACCUCUGGGGAUGUCCUGUGGAUUCUGUGGAUCCUGUGGGUUGCAGGGUGGGUCCUACCUAGACCAGGCUGAUCCUGGACCAUCCCACAGAUGCUCCAUCAGAUGUGGAUGUGGGGAGUGUGGAACCCAGAUGCACAAUGAGGGACGUCUGCAGAGACUGAGAAAGAGUCUCACCACAUCCUGACAUGAGGAAAAAGACUUCAUUGAAGACUACAAUGAGAAAAACUAUCAGACAGCAGACGGCUGCAUUCAAGGUGAGAUCUGAACAUUUGAUCUGGAACAGGAAUUCAAUAACGGCAGCAUGAGCUUCAUUUCAGUCUGUAGCUGCUGAAUUCAUGGAUGAAUCAUCUGGUACUAGAGAGGAAGACCAUCAAACAUCCACGUCAGCUGAUGGAGGUCCAAGAGUCUCACCCAACAAACGACCUACAGAGUGAAGACCUCCAAUCUGAUUGGACGGCCUCCUAUUCAGCCACGUGUGAACAAAUGCCUCUAAGCUGAUUUGUUUUCUAAAAUCUAGUUUGAGUCCUAAUCUAUGCCUGUGUGUUUGCUUCUUUACACCGCUGUUAACAGUUUAGGCUGUUAGAUUGUUCCAGAUAAGACAAGUACAAGAUUCUUCAGAGCCGUUCUACCACGAGCCUGACAGGAAGAACUCCAACAUCUACUGAAUGUUCCUGUGGUUCCCUCAAGGCUACAGGAGGAGCCCUACGAGGACGAGCCGGUCCACCUGAUGGCGGCCAGUCGCUGCGGUUCAAAGCCAACACCGACUACGUGGACUUCUACUGGACCACACGGAGGCCUUCAAACCGGACCAACAAGUUCAGCGACUCCCCGACUCGUGGGUCUGAGGACGCCGCCGAGCCUCGGUCCAGCCGGCCUCCUGUCUGUGGGUGUUUGAGUGCUGAGAGGUUUGUGGAUGCAUGUGAACGUUCUGUGUUGAAACAGCAGCUUUGGACUCAGUAACGCCGGG